This is a long non-coding RNA of Crotalus tigris (Tiger rattlesnake), 1598 nucleotides long. RefSeq lists it as uncharacterized. The transcript has 2 exons. NCBI's taxonomy places the organism in Eukaryota, Metazoa, Chordata, Lepidosauria, Squamata, Viperidae. The record is from RefSeq and is a predicted model, not a curated record.
GUUGGCAAGUGAAGAGUCCUGCUUGGGCUCAGAGCGCCGGCAACGCUGCCUCCUCCUCCUCUUGCUCCUUCAGUAUUGGGACCUUGAGAGUUGCAAGGAUCUGGCCAACUUUAGGACCAGCCUGGGGUCCCCGCUGCCCCAGGCCGGCUGGACUGCCAUUCCUAGCACUCCUGAGGGCCUUUGAGCACCCUCUGGGAGGUCCAAGUUUCCCCUCCAUGUUGCAGAAGCUUGCAGUGCAGGACUGUCCUGCGGCAAAACCGUGUCAGCAGAGGCAACCCAGAUUUGAUCCUGCGCCAUUGCGAAAGUGACGAGGAAGACCUGCCCGGCCGAACGGCAGCGUCCCAUCGUCUCCUGAGGCGGAGGAGCAGCAUCUCAUAACUGGGACCCACCGGUUGGACUGCAGCUGGAGCUGCAGCGGCUGAGAACCUAGCUCAUGGGAUGAGCUGCUUGCCUUCCACACGGCGUCAACCUGGAACCCAAAGCUUCCUGGAGGACGAGGCCCUGGAAGGAGAUACCCAGGACGGGGGGAGCCUUGGCCCAGCCCAGAUGUUCUUGCAGGAAAGGGGAAGAUGGAGGAGUGCCGCCAUUCUCUUCGGGGCAGGGCCACCUGGCCACCAGGCUACCAUCCUCUCUUUUCCAGCAGCAAGCAGAUAAUCUCUGGAUGAGGCUGCAAACAACUUGGUCAAGGCAGUGACACUCUGGUGACCUUGUUUCACCCCAAACGUGUUUCUCAAGCUUGGCAACUUCAAGAUGUGUGGACUUCAGCUCCCAGAAUCCUCCAGCCAGCAUCCUGAAAUUGCCAAAGUUGAUAAGCACCAAGACAGAAAGAUGCAGCGAAGGUGGUGCUGAGAGGCCAGUCUCUCAUAGGUUGCCUCUGAAAAUACCUUCCACAGAAAGCAGUAUGGCGCUGAGAAAUAACAGGCACACCCAUGUGUGUUUGGCUCUUAUGCUGAUGCUGUUUUUAAGAAAGGGCAAGAGGCACAUACAAACAACGUGAGCAUCAAGCUGGACUUCUGGAGAGCCUGUCUAAAGCCAGUAAAAAAGUCACAGCGGCUGGGCCGGGAGAGAAGCCUUGGCCUCAGCCAGCCUCUGAGCAUGCUGGGCUCAGCAGGGUUUCCCUUGCACCGAUUCUCCCCAUCACUGGCGACAUGGGGCUAGUUGGGCAACUCUCCCAACCAAGCUGUGUAUUUUUUUUCACGCACGUGCAGCAUCUUCUCAGGGAAUUCAUGGCAGUUACCUGGUUUCAUUUUCUUUUUACCUUUUAAAGAGAUGAGGAUGUCCAUGCGAUCGCUCAGGUUCCCGUUUGCCAGUAGCCAGAAGGCUAAAAAUACACAUGGUGCAAUGUUGGGCAUAGAGGAAGCAAGCAAGGAAGCUCAGCUGUGCUCCCUUGGCUGGGUGACCAGGCAAAAGGCUGCAGCCAAGCAGGCUGAAUACCCUUUGAGCAACCCCCCAGGGAGUUCAGGCCUUUCCAUAACCAUAGUUAGCUUCAUGCUGCAAAUCUUCCCCACGUUGGUUUCAUUCUUGAUUGCUUGUGUGUAUAUCCUGUGUCUCCCCCUAACAAGGUGGAUUCUCCCAAAAUAAAAGUUACAUAUGAGGUA